UAAGACUUACGGAGACUAGACCGUAUCUUCUGAAUGCAACUCAAACACUUUAAUUAAGCUAAAGCCUUC
This 69-nucleotide transfer RNA is filed under the name Anolis auratus (grass anole). RNAcentral describes it as "tRNA-Ala". The record is from RNAcentral. Lineage: Eukaryota; Metazoa; Chordata; Lepidosauria; Squamata; Anolidae.